AAGUCGAACCUGCGGGAAAGUGCUGUUUAGGAGCUUUGUCUUCUCUACAGAGGCUUUCUUUAGCACUGGUUAGAUUAUAACCCAAACCCUGUUUGUUGUUCAUUUCUUCUGUUCUAAAGGACGUGGCGUAUUGUCUCUUUAUAUGAUGUCUUGGUUUCC
RNAcentral lists this unclassified non-coding RNA (159 nucleotides) under fungal sp. RNAcentral's name for it is "partial internal transcribed spacer region". The record is from RNAcentral. Lineage: Eukaryota; Fungi.